GGGCGAGUGGCGAAAUGGCAGACGCGCUGGCUUCAGGUGCCAGUGUUCGUUAAGGACGUGGGGGUUCAAGUCCCCCCUCGCCCAC
Molecule: transfer RNA, 85 nt
Filed under: Actinomycetes bacterium
Lineage: Bacteria; Bacillati; Actinomycetota; Actinomycetes
Description: tRNA-Leu
Rfam family: tRNA
About the family: Transfer RNA (tRNA) molecules are approximately 80 nucleotides in length. Their secondary structure includes four short double-helical elements and three loops (D, anti-codon, and T loops).
Source: RNAcentral